RNAcentral lists this ribosomal RNA (477 nucleotides) under uncultured bacterium. RNAcentral's name for it is "partial 16S ribosomal RNA". It matches the Rfam family "Bacterial small subunit ribosomal RNA", at positions 28 to 507 of the family's 1533-position model. The record is from RNAcentral.
GAUUAACGCUGGCGGCGUGCAUAACACAUGCAAGUCGAACGAUGAAACUUAGUAUACUUCUUCGGAAAGACACUAAGCGGAUUAGUUGCGAACGGGGUAGUAACCCGUUAGUAACCUGCCUUACACAAGGGGAUAGCCUUUGUAAACGAAGAAUAAUACCCUAUAAAACCAUAAAAGCACAUGCUAGAAUGGUCAAAGUGAUAGCGGUGUAAGAUGGACUUGCGUCUGAUUAGCUAGUUGGUGAGAUAAAAGCUCACCAAGGCAACGAGCAGUAGCCGGCUUGAGAGCGUGUACAGUGAGACUGGGACUGAGACAAGACCCCGACUGCUGGGAGAAGCAGCAGUGGGGAAUUUUGGACAAGGAGGGAAAUCCUGCUGCAGCGAGGGCGCGAGAUUUAGAAGGGGGUUGGGUUGUAAAAAUCUUUUGGAUAGGGAGAAAGUGACAGUAAUAUACGAAUAAGGUCCGGCUAAUUACGUG